GAUGAACGCUAGCUACAGGCUUAACACAUGCAAGUCGAGGGGAAACGACAUCGAAAGCUUGCUUUUGAUGGGCGUCGACCGGCGCACGGGUGAGUAACGCGUAUCCAACCUGCCCAUCACUUGGGAAUAACCUUGCGAAAGUAAGACUAAUACCCAAUGAUAUCCCACGAAGGCAUCGGAAUGGGAUUAAAGAUUUAUCGGUGAUGGAUGGGGAUGCGUCUGAUUAGCUUGUUGGCGGGGUAACGGCCCACCAAGGCAACGAUCAGUAGGGGUUCUGAGAGGAAGGUCCCCCACAUGGGAACUGAGACACGGUCCAAACUCCUACGGGAGGCAGCAGUGAGGAAUAUUGGUCAAUGGGCGAGAGCCUGAACCAGCCAAGUAGCGUGCAGGAAGACGGCCCUAUGGGUUGUAAACUGCUUUUAUAAGGGAAUAAAGUGGGUCACGUGUGACUUUUUGCAUGUACCUUAUGAAUAAGGACCGGCUAAUUCCGUG
This 492-nucleotide ribosomal RNA is filed under the name uncultured bacterium. RNAcentral describes it as "partial 16S ribosomal RNA". It matches the Rfam family "Bacterial small subunit ribosomal RNA", at positions 28 to 507 of the family's 1533-position model. The record is from RNAcentral.